AUAGAUGGAAACAUUUAUCUUAAUGACUUUGAAAAAAUUAGAGUGUUCAAAGCAUGAUUCACAUUUGAAUAAUACAGCAUGGGAUAAUAUAAUAUGACAUUAGUUAAAAUUUGUUGGUUUCUUUGGCUAAUGUAAUGAUUAAAAGGGACAGUUGGAGUAAUUUAUAUUGGUUGGGGAGGGGUGAAAUCCUAUGAUCCUUCCAAGAUAAACUAGUGCGAAAGCAUUUUACUAGGAUGUUUUCAUUAAUCAAGAACGAAAGUUGGGGAUCGAAGAUGAUCAGAUACCGUCGUAGUCUCAACCAUAAACUAUGUCGACUAAGGAUGAUAAAAUAUUAAAUGAAUGAUUUUUGUCGCACUUUAAAAGAAAUUAAAGUAUUCAGACUCCGGGGGGAGUAUGGUCGCAAGGCUGAAACUUAAAGGAAUUGACGGAAGGG
Molecule: ribosomal RNA, 433 nt
Filed under: uncultured eukaryote
Lineage: Eukaryota
Description: SSU rRNA
Rfam family: Eukaryotic small subunit ribosomal RNA
Source: RNAcentral